UCCGAGUCCGUAACGGCCUAGGCAUGGC
This 28-nucleotide non-coding RNA is filed under the name Rattus norvegicus (Norway rat). Lineage: Eukaryota; Metazoa; Chordata; Mammalia; Rodentia; Muridae. The record is from RNAcentral.